Molecule: ribosomal RNA, 234 nt
Filed under: uncultured bacterium
Lineage: Bacteria
Description: partial 16S ribosomal RNA
Rfam family: Bacterial small subunit ribosomal RNA
Source: RNAcentral
UGGGCAACCUGCCCCUCUCUCUGGGAUAACCCCCGGGAAACCGGAGCUAAUACCGGAUACUCCGGCUGGAUCGCAUGGUCCGGCCGGGAAAGGUCCGCCGGAGAGGGAUGGGCCCGCGGCCUAUCAGCUUGUUGGUGGGGUCAUGGCUCACCAAGGCGACGACGGGUAGCUGGUCUGAGAGGACGACCAGCCACACUGGAACUGAGAUACGGUCCAGACUCCGUACGGGAGGCA